Molecule: ribosomal RNA, 253 nt
Filed under: uncultured bacterium
Lineage: Bacteria
Description: partial 16S ribosomal RNA
Rfam family: Bacterial small subunit ribosomal RNA
Source: RNAcentral
UACGUAGGGUGCAAGCGUUAAUCGGAAUUACUGGGCGUAAAGCGUGCGCAGGCGGUUGGGUAAGGCAGAUGUGAAAUCCCCGGGCUCAACCUGGGAACUGCAUUUGUGACUGCACGGCUGGAGUGCGGCAGAGGGGGAUGGAAUUCCGCGUGUAGCAGUGAAAUGCAUAGAUAUCGGGAGGAACACCAGUGGCGAAGGCGACUACCUGGCCUGUUCUUGACGCUGAGGCGCGAAAGCUAGGGGAGCAAACGGG